GCCCGCGUAGCUCAGCUGGCUAGAGCAGCGCUUUCGUAAAGCGAAGGUCGGCGGUUCAAAUCCGCCCGUGGGCU
RNAcentral lists this transfer RNA (74 nucleotides) under Candidatus Kerfeldbacteria bacterium RIFCSPHIGHO2_02_FULL_42_14. Its description in RNAcentral is "tRNA-Thr". It matches the Rfam family "tRNA". Rfam says of the family: Transfer RNA (tRNA) molecules are approximately 80 nucleotides in length. RNAcentral also lists the same sequence under 3 other names. Lineage: Bacteria; Candidatus Kerfeldiibacteriota. The record is from RNAcentral.